This 429-nucleotide ribosomal RNA is filed under the name Chloroflexota bacterium. Its description in RNAcentral is "Chloroflexi bacterium partial 16S ribosomal RNA". It matches the Rfam family "Bacterial small subunit ribosomal RNA", at positions 355 to 776 of the family's 1533-position model. Lineage: Bacteria; Bacillati; Chloroflexota. The record is from RNAcentral.
UGGGGAUUAUUGCACAAUGGGCGCAAGCCUGAUGCAGCCAUGCCGCGGGUUUGAAGACGGCCUUCGGGUUGUAAAGCACUUUCAGCGGGGAGGAAGGCGUUAAGGUUAAUAACCUUGGCGAUUGACGUUACCCGCAGAAGAAGCACCGGCUAACUCCGUGCCAGCAGCCGCGGUAAUACGGAGGGUGCAAGCGUUAAUCGGAAUUACUGGGCGUAAAGCGCACGCAGGCGGUCUGUCAAGUCGGAGGUGAAAUCCCCGGGCUCAACCUGGGAAGUGCAGUCGAAAAUGGCAGGCGAGAGUCUUGGAGAGGGGGGUAGGAUUCCAGGUGGAGCGGUGAAAUGAGUAGGGAACUGGAGGAAUAACGGUGGCGGAGGCGGCCCCCUGGACAAAGACUGAAGCCGCGGUGCGAAAGAGGGGGGAGGAAAAAGG